GUGUCAGCAGCCGCGGUAAUACAGAGGGGGCGAGCGUUAUUCGGAAUUAUUGGGCGUAAAGGGCGCGUAGGCGGCCAUUCAAGUGACGGGUGAAAGCCCUCGGCUUAACCGAGGAACUGCCUGUCAGACUGGGUGGCUUGAGACCGGGAGAGGUGAGUGGAAUUCCCAGUGUAGCGGUGAAAUGCGUAGAUAUUGGGAGGAACACCAGUGGCGAAGGCGGCUCACUGGACCGGAACUGACGCUGAGGCGCGAAAGCGUGGGGAGCAAACAGGAUUAGAAACCCUGGUAGUCC
Molecule: ribosomal RNA, 292 nt
Filed under: uncultured bacterium
Lineage: Bacteria
Description: partial 16S ribosomal RNA
Rfam family: Bacterial small subunit ribosomal RNA
Source: RNAcentral